UAUGAUCCAGAGUACCACGGGACACGUGAAACCCUGUGGGAAGCAGGAGGGACCACCCUCCAAGGCUAAAUACUACCUAGUGACCGAUAGCGUAUAGUACCGUGAGGGAAAGGUGAAAAGAACCCCGGGAGGGGAGUGAAAUAGAACCUGAAACCCUGCACUUACAAGCUGUGGAAGCACAUUUCUUGUGUGACCGCGUACUUUUUGUAGAACGGGCCAACGAGUUACGUUAAGUAGCAAGGUUAAGCACUUAAGGUGCGGAGCCGUAGCGAAAGCGAGUUUUAACUGAGCGUUCAGUUACUUGACGUAGACCCGAAACCGGGCGACCUACCCAUGAGCAGGAUGAAGCGAAAGUAAAAUUUCGUGGAGGUCCGAACCCACGAGCGUUGAAAAGCUCGGGGAUGACUUGUGGGUAGCGGUGAAAUUCCAAUCGAGCCCGGAGAUAGCUGGUUCUCCCCGAAAUAGCUUUAGGGCUAGCCUCAAGGUGAGAGAUACGGAGGUAGAGCACUGAAUGUCCUAGGGGGUAUUGCACCUACCGAAGACUAUCAAACUCCGAAUGCCGUCAUCUUAUACUUGGGAGUCAGACUGUGGGUGAUAAGAUUCAUAGUCGAAAGGGCAACAGCCCAGAUCGUCAGCUAAGGUCCCUAAAUGUAAGUUAAGUGGUAAAGGAUGUGGGAUUGCACAGACAACCAGGAUGUUGGCUUAGAAGCAGCCACUCAUUCAAAGAGUGCGUAAUAGCUCACUGGUCGAGUGAUCCUGCGCCGAAGAUUUCCGGGGCUAAAACUUACUACCGAAGCUACGGCAUCAGUAAUGAUGGGUAGGGGAGCUUCCCAUACGGGUUGAAGCAUGACCGUAAGGACAUGUGGACAGUAUGGGAGUGAGAAUGUUGGCAUGAGUAGCGAGAUGUGGGUGAGAAUCCCACAGG
RNAcentral lists this ribosomal RNA (925 nucleotides) under Clostridioides difficile. Its description in RNAcentral is "partial 23S ribosomal RNA". It matches the Rfam family "Bacterial large subunit ribosomal RNA", at positions 401 to 1336 of the family's 2925-position model. The record is from RNAcentral. Lineage: Bacteria; Bacillati; Bacillota; Clostridia; Peptostreptococcales; Peptostreptococcaceae.